AACGCGAAGAACCUUACCUGGGCUUGACAUGUUCCUGACAGCCGUGGAAACACGGUCUCUCUUCGGAGCAGGAUCACAGGUGGUGCAUGGCUGUCGUCAGCUCGUGUCGUGAGAUGUUGGGUUAAGUCCCGCAACGAGCGCAACCCCCGUCGCAUGUUGCCAGCAUUUAGUUGGGGACUCAUGCGAGACCGCCGGUGACAAACCGGAGGAAGGUGGGGAUGACGUCAAGUCAUCAUGCCCCUUAUGUCCAGGGCUACACACGUGCUACAUUGGCGCGUACAGAGGGUUGCGAUACCGCGAGGUGGAGCGAAUCCCUUAAAGCGCGUCUCGGUUCGGAUUGCAGGCUGAAACUCGCCUGCAUGAAGGCGGAGUUGCUAGUAAUCGCGGAUCAGCACUGCCGCGGUGAAUACGUUCCCGGGCCUUGUA
This 426-nucleotide ribosomal RNA is filed under the name uncultured Actinomycetes bacterium. RNAcentral describes it as "bacterial SSU rRNA". It matches the Rfam family "Bacterial small subunit ribosomal RNA", at positions 958 to 1385 of the family's 1533-position model. The record is from RNAcentral. Lineage: Bacteria; Bacillati; Actinomycetota; Actinomycetes.